GUAGGUGAACCUGCUGCAAGAUCAGGUA
This 28-nucleotide ribosomal RNA is filed under the name Aphelenchoides besseyi. RNAcentral describes it as "partial 18S ribosomal RNA". Lineage: Eukaryota; Metazoa; Nematoda; Chromadorea; Rhabditida; Aphelenchoididae. The record is from RNAcentral.